RNAcentral lists this ribosomal RNA (253 nucleotides) under uncultured bacterium. Its description in RNAcentral is "partial 16S ribosomal RNA". It matches the Rfam family "Bacterial small subunit ribosomal RNA", at positions 524 to 776 of the family's 1533-position model. The record is from RNAcentral.
GACGUAGGAUGCAAGCGUUGUCCGGAAUUAUUGGGCGUAAAGAGUUCGUAGGCGGUUAUCUAAGUCUGGUGUUAAAUACUGGAGCUCAACUCCGGCAUGGCAUUGGAAACUGGAUAGCUAGAGUGCGGUAGAGGUCACGGGAAUUCCAGGUGUAGCGGUGAAAUGCGUAGAUAUCUGGAGGAACACCAGUGGCGAAAGCGUGUGACUGGGCCGCAACUGACGCUGAGGAACGAAAGCCAGGGGAGCGAAAGGG